UACAGAGGUCUCAAGCGUUGUUCGGAUUCAUUGGGCGUAAAGGGUGCGUAGGCGGCGCGGUAAGUCGGGUGUGAAAUCUCGGAGCUUAACUCCGAAACUGCAUUCGAUACUGCGGUGCUCGAGGACUGGAGAGGAGACUGGAAUUCAUGGUGUAGCAGUGAAAUGCGUAGAGAUCAUGAGGAAGACCAGUGGCGAAGGCGGGUCUCUGGACAGUUCCUGACACUGAGGCACGAAGGCCAGGGGAGCAAACGGG
This 253-nucleotide ribosomal RNA is filed under the name uncultured bacterium. RNAcentral describes it as "partial 16S ribosomal RNA". It matches the Rfam family "Bacterial small subunit ribosomal RNA", at positions 524 to 776 of the family's 1533-position model. The record is from RNAcentral.